This 85-nucleotide transfer RNA is filed under the name Verrucomicrobiaceae bacterium. Its description in RNAcentral is "tRNA-Tyr". It matches the Rfam family "tRNA". Rfam says of the family: Transfer RNA (tRNA) molecules are approximately 80 nucleotides in length. Lineage: Bacteria; Pseudomonadati; Verrucomicrobiota; Verrucomicrobiia; Verrucomicrobiales; Verrucomicrobiaceae. RNAcentral also lists the same sequence under 1 other name. The record is from RNAcentral.
GGGUAGGUACCGAAGCGGUCAAACGGGGCAGACUGUAAAUCUGCUGGCUAUGCCUUCAGNGGUUCGAAUCCNCUCCUGCCCACCA